This 75-nucleotide small nucleolar RNA is filed under the name Pelobates cultripes (western spadefoot toad). It matches the Rfam family "Small nucleolar RNA SNORD47". Rfam says of the family: U47 belongs to the C/D class of snoRNA which contain the C (UGAUGA) and D (CUGA) box motifs. Most of the members of the box C/D family function in directing site-specific 2'-O-methylation of substrate RNAs. The record is from RNAcentral. Lineage: Eukaryota; Metazoa; Chordata; Amphibia; Anura; Pelobatidae.
GGCCAUUGAUGAAAAUGAUUCUGCCAUAUGAGUAAAACUGAUUAUACUCCAACCGUUCCACUUUUUUCUGAGGUA